AUCCCCUUUUAGCUCAGUGGUCGAGCGCUGGCUUUGGAAGCCACAGGUCGGUGGCUCGAGCCCACCAGGGCACA
This 74-nucleotide transfer RNA is filed under the name Phytophthora infestans (potato late blight agent). RNAcentral describes it as "tRNA-Pro". The stretch from base 6 to 70 matches the Rfam family "tRNA". Rfam says of the family: Transfer RNA (tRNA) molecules are approximately 80 nucleotides in length. Their secondary structure includes four short double-helical elements and three loops (D, anti-codon, and T loops). The record is from RNAcentral. Lineage: Eukaryota; Oomycota; Peronosporomycetes; Peronosporales; Peronosporaceae.